UAUUAGAGGCAUUGCCUGCCCAGUGACUAAAGUUAAACGGCCGCGGUAUCCUGACCGUGCAAAGGUAGCAUAAUCACUUGUUCCUUAAUUAGGGACUAGAAUGAAUGGCUAAACGAGGGUCCAACUGUCUCUUACUUUCAAUCAGUGAAAUUGACCUUCCAGUGAAGAGGCUGGAAUACCACAAUAAGACGAGAAGACCCUAUGGAGCUUUAAUUUAUUAGUUUAAUUUACACAAAAAUAACCUAAUGGACUAGAAUAGAUAAAAAUAAACUAAAAAUUUCGGUUGGGGUGACCUCGGAGAAUAAAAAAUCCUCCGAAUGAUUCUAGCCUAGACUCACAAGUCAAAGCAAUAUCAAUAUCUCAUUGACCCAAUUAUUGAUCAACGGACCAAGUUACCCUAGGGAUAACAGCGCAAUCCUAUUUAAGAGUUCAUAUCGACAAUUAGGGUUUACGACCUCGAUGUUGGAUCAGGACAUCCCAAUGGUGCAGAAGCUAUUAAUGGUUCGUUUGUUCAACGAUUAAAGUCCUACGUGAUCUGAGU
This 541-nucleotide ribosomal RNA is filed under the name Rattus montanus (Sri Lankan mountain rat). Its description in RNAcentral is "partial 16S ribosomal RNA". It matches the Rfam family "Bacterial large subunit ribosomal RNA", at positions 1844 to 2610 of the family's 2925-position model. The record is from RNAcentral. Lineage: Eukaryota; Metazoa; Chordata; Mammalia; Rodentia; Muridae.